RNA transcript from Labeo rohita (rohu), 977 nucleotides. RefSeq lists it as uncharacterized. The record is from RefSeq and is a predicted model, not a curated record. The transcript has 8 exons. Lineage: Eukaryota; Metazoa; Chordata; Actinopteri; Cypriniformes; Cyprinidae.
GAAAACGGUGAUGCUUAAACAGUUCAGAUCUGUCAAGGAUGACACUCAAACAUCUGCAGAUGAAGAUUUGAUUUCAGAAUGCAGCUCAGUUCAUCAUAAGAGAUCAGAACCAGAGCCCAACUGUGUGUCUAUGAAGAGUGACAAAUCUAUGGGUCCACCAUUACAAUUUAAGUGUGGAGAUACACAACCUGGUCUCAGCUCAGUUCAUCAAAAGAGAUCAGAACCAGAGCCCAGAUGUGUGUCUAUGAAGAGUGACAAAUCUAUGGGUCCACCAUUACAAUUUACGAGUGGAGAUACACAACCUGUUCUCAGCUCAGUUCAUCAUAAGAGAUCAGAACCAGAGCCCAGAUGUGUGUCUAUGAAGAGUGACAAAUCUAUGGGUCCACCAUUACAAUUUACGAGUGGAGAUACACAACCUGUUCUCAGCUCAGUUCAUCAUAAGAGAUCAGAACCAGAGCUCAGAUAUGUGUCUAUGAAGAGUGACAAAUCUAUGGGUCCACCAUUACAAUUUACGAGUGGAGAUACACAACCUGUUCUCAGCUCAGUUCAUCAUAAGAGAUCAGAACCAGAGCCCAGAUGUGUGUCUAUGAAGAGUGACAAAUCUAUGGGUCCACCAUUACAAUUUAUGAGUGGAGAUACACAACCUGUUCUCAGCUGACAGGAGUGGCACAUGCUGCUGUAGCCCAUCUGAUUCAAGGUUGAACAUGUUCUGCGUUCAGAGAUGCUCUUCCUUGGAUGAGGCUGCCUUUGUACUUCAGACUGAAUUGCCUAGCAACGUUUAUGAUGGCUGGUGUUUAUUUUGUUGUUGUUGUUUCUGAAGUCCUGGAGCUGAUGUCUCCAAAAACACAGAGGCAAAUUUUCAAAUAGAGGCUCAGUUCAUCAUAAGAGAUCAGAACCAGAGCCCAGAUGUGUGUCUAUGAAGAGUGACAAAUCUAUGGGUCCACCAUUACAAUUUACGAGUGGAGAUACACAACCUG